AUCCCGAGUUCCAUCUCUGGGGGAGAUUGGCCUCCGGAGCCGAAGGUUGCAGGUUCGAAUCCUGCCGGGGAUA
Molecule: transfer RNA, 73 nt
Filed under: Planctomycetaceae bacterium
Lineage: Bacteria; Pseudomonadati; Planctomycetota; Planctomycetia; Planctomycetales; Planctomycetaceae
Description: tRNA-Arg
Rfam family: tRNA (bases 13-73)
About the family: Transfer RNA (tRNA) molecules are approximately 80 nucleotides in length. Their secondary structure includes four short double-helical elements and three loops (D, anti-codon, and T loops).
Source: RNAcentral